CUCGGCCUUUGCCGGGGAAACCUGGCCGUCGCCCGGUUUGGGCGGGUUCAGGUUGCCGGAGCGAAUGGCGUUCAGGCGUUCCAGGCGUUCGGCCAGGG
Molecule: transfer RNA, 98 nt
Filed under: Chloroflexota bacterium
Lineage: Bacteria; Bacillati; Chloroflexota
Description: tRNA-Gln
Source: RNAcentral